This is a long non-coding RNA of Lemur catta (Ring-tailed lemur), 294 nucleotides long. RefSeq lists it as uncharacterized. NCBI's taxonomy places the organism in Eukaryota, Metazoa, Chordata, Mammalia, Primates, Lemuridae. The transcript is spliced from 3 exons. The record is from RefSeq and is a predicted model, not a curated record.
GAGGGCUCCAGGGAUGGCACUCUACCAAGCUUGGAACAAAUAACCGCUCCCGCCUGCCGAGGAGACUGAGCCAUCUCUAGAAGAUCCAGACCUGUUUCUGGAAGCAGCUGCUGCAACUCCAGACUUUGGGCAAAGCAUUUGACCUCUAGGAGCUUCACUUUCUCCAUUUGCAAAGUGGGGAGGUGGUGAGGAGCAGAGGAAAUGAAGAGCUUCCACAUCAGUGUUGACAAUGGCUGUGAACUUGUGGACCAUUUGAAGAUGUCCAGUCAAUGAUGCUGAGAGCCAAGAAGUUCC